Molecule: non-coding RNA, 396 nt
Organism: Pelobates cultripes (western spadefoot toad)
Lineage: Eukaryota; Metazoa; Chordata; Amphibia; Anura; Pelobatidae
Source: the annotation of a GenBank genome assembly
UCUCAAUGGACGCCGAAAAGGCGUUUGACCGCCUACUCUGGCCUUUUCUCUUUGCGAUUCUACAAAAAUUCUGCUUCCCAAACUCCUUUAUCAAGGCACUUCAAUCCCUCUAUGAUGAACCAGCAGCUACCCUCCUCAUCCCCAAUGCACAUGCACUAGAAUUUACAAUACACAAUGGAAAACAGCAGGGCUGCUUGCUGUCCCCCCUUUAAUUCGCCUUAUCCCUAGAACCUCUUCUCCAGAAAAUAAGCACCCCGACAAUUACAGGGAUCAAGUUUAGAAAGAGCGAAUAUAAAACUGCGGCUUAUGCGGACAACAUUCUCCUCACCAUCACGGACCUAUGCCGCUCCUUACCCCCUGAACUUCAGAUCCUUGACGACUAUGCUAACCUCCCAG